UGCAAGUCAGGCGGCUCAGCAAUGGGUCACCGGCGAACGGGUGCGUAACACGUGAGCAACCUGCCCAAGUGUGGGGGAUAGCCGGCCCAACGGCCGGGUAAUACCGCAUACGCUUCCUAGGGGGCAUUCCCAGGGAAGGAAACCUUCGGGGCACAUGGAGGGGCUCGCGGCUUAUCAGCUAGUUGGUGGGGUAAUGGCUCACCAAGGCUACGACGGGUAGCUGGUCUGAGAGGAUGGCCAGCCACAUUGGGACUGAGAUACGGCCCAGACUCCUACGGGAGGCAGCAGUGGGGAAUAUUGCGCAAUGGCCGAAAGGCUGACGCAGCGACGCCGCGUGGGGGAGGAAGGUCUUCGGAUUGUAAACCCCUGUUGCCCGGGACGAAUCCUGGUUUCGACCAGAUUGACGGUACCGGGUGAGGAAGCACCGGCUAACUCUGUGCCAGCAGCCGCGGUAAUACAGAGGGUGCGAGCGUUGUCCGGAAUCACUGGGCGUAAAGGGCGCGUAGGUGGCUUGCCAAGCGUGUGGUGAAAGCCCGGAGCUCAACUCCGGGUCGGCCAUGCGAACUGGCAGGCUAGAGCACGGUAGAGGCCAAUGGAAUUCCGGGUGUAGCGGUGGAAUGCGUAGAGAUCGGCAGGAACACCAAGGACGAAGGUACCAACCUGGGCACUCACUGACACUCAUGUGCGACCGCGUGUGGGAGCGAACCGGAUUAGAUACCCGGGUAGUCCACGCCGUAAACGAUGGAUGCUCGGCGUUUGUGGGAGAGAUCCUGUGGGCGCCUCAUCUGACGCAAUAAGCAUCCCGCCUGGGAACUACGAGCGCAAGCUUAAACUCAAAGGAUUGACGGGGGCCCGCACAAGCAGCGGAGCGUGUGGCUUAAUUCGACGCAACCCGCAUCACUUUACCAGACUGACAUGGCACUGCACGC
This 929-nucleotide ribosomal RNA is filed under the name uncultured Gemmatimonas sp. RNAcentral's name for it is "bacterial SSU rRNA". It matches the Rfam family "Bacterial small subunit ribosomal RNA", at positions 56 to 998 of the family's 1533-position model. Lineage: Bacteria; Pseudomonadati; Gemmatimonadota; Gemmatimonadia; Gemmatimonadales; Gemmatimonadaceae. The record is from RNAcentral.